UCCAAGCAAUUUCAGCGUCCUUUGCAGCUAAUUUGGACCAAGAUGUAUGUCAGUUAAACUUUAUAAUCUUGGUUAUCGUCAGUUUAUUGAAGGCCGACGUUUGUUUCUUCGAGGUUACCGUCAGAAUAGCGUAGGUUUAGUUCAAUCUCGAAGAUUAAUGGAUAUGAUUUCGUGACGAAAGUACUCGAGGACAGCUACAAGCUCAGGACAAAGAUUAAGAUAUGCAGAGGACGGCGUCGAGCAAAAGAGGAAGCUUUUAGAGUCAAGAAGUUCAAAGGAGGGAGGAAACAGGAUACCUUUUAACAAGAAUGACUGGCUAGUAUCUCUGGUGCUUAAAGCACAAGUCAAACAAGUAGAAGACACGAUUUCUUCAGAGGUACAAAAUUGAUGCAGCACUUUACUCAAGCAUCCGGUUAGUCAAGCCAAGAAAGAUUUGUCAAA
Molecule: long non-coding RNA, 441 nt
Organism: Stylophora pistillata
Lineage: Eukaryota; Metazoa; Cnidaria; Anthozoa; Scleractinia; Pocilloporidae
Source: RefSeq, a predicted model, not a curated record